RNAcentral lists this long non-coding RNA (215 nucleotides) under Hordeum vulgare. RNAcentral's name for it is "long non-coding RNA (HVUL_LNC009518)". The record is from RNAcentral. Lineage: Eukaryota; Viridiplantae; Streptophyta; Magnoliopsida; Poales; Poaceae.
UUCUGGUCCCCUUCUUCGGGCUAAAUUGGCUAAGAAUGCCUUUUUGCAGCUAAUUAUGUCAUUUCGAGGAUAAUUAGCUAAGUAUAGGUCAUUUUUUAUUAAAUAGGACAUUUUGGAGCUAACUAAGCUAAUUAUGUCAUUUCGUAGGAUAAUUAGCCAAGUUAGCCUUUCUUGGAUAAGUCUAAGCUACGUAGAAGAAGAGAUAGAGAAGAAGA